GUUAAGCGACUAAGCGUACACGGUGGAUGCCCUGGCAGUCAGAGGCGAUGAAGGACGUGCUAAUCUGCGAUAAGCGUCGGUAAGGUGAUAUGAACCGUUAUAACCGGCGAUUUCCGAAUGGGGAAACCCAGUGUGUUUCGACACACUAUCAUUAACUGAAUCCAUAGGUUAAUGAGGCGAACCGGGGGAACUGAAACAUCUAAGUACCCCGAGGAAAAGAAAUCAACCGAGAUUCCCCCAGUAGCGGCGAGCGAACGGGGAGCAGCCCAGAGCCUGAAUCAGUAUGUGUGUUAGUGGAAGCGUCUGGAAAGGCGCGCGAUACAGGGUGACAGCCCCGUACACAAAAAUGCACAUGCUGUGAGCUCGAUGAGUAGGGCGGGACACGUGGUAUCCUGUCUGAAUAUGGGGGGACCAUCCUCCAAGGCUAAAUACUCCUGACUGACCGAUAGUGAACCAGUACCGUGAGGGAAAGGCGAAAAGAACCCCGGCGAGGGGAGUGAAAAAGAACCUGAAACCGUGUACGUACAAGCAGUGGGAGCACGCUUAGGCGUGUGACUGCGUACCUUUUGUAUAAUGGGUCAGCGACUUAUAUUCUGUAGCAAGGUUAACCGAAUAGGGGAGCCGAAGGGAAACCGAGUCUUAACUGGGCGUUAAGUUGCAGGGUAUAGACCCGAAACCCGGUGAUCUAGCCAUGGGCAGGUUGAAGGUUGGGUAACACUAACUGGAGGACCGAACCGACUAAUGUUGAAAAAUUAGCGGAUGACUUGUGGCUGGGGGUGAAAGGCCAAUCAAACCGGGAGAUAGCUGGUUCUCCCCGAAAGCUAUUUAGGUAGCGCCUCGUGAAUUCAUCUCCGGGGGUAGAGCACUGUUUCGGCAAGGGGGUCAUCCCGACUUACCAACCCGAUGCAAACUGCGAAUACCGGAGAAUGUUAUCACGGGAGACACACGGCGGGUGCUAACGUCCGUCGUGAAGAGGGAAACAACCCAGACCGCCAGCUAAGGUCCCAAAGUCAUGGUUAAGUGGGAAACGAUGUGGGAAGGCCCAGACAGCCAGGAUGUUGGCUUAGAAGCAGCCAUCAUUUAAAGAAAGCGUAAUAGCUCACUGGUCGAGUCGGCCUGCGCGGAAGAUGUAACGGGGCUAAACCAUGCACCGAAGCUGCGGCAGCGACGCUGAUGCGUUGUUGGGUA
This 1188-nucleotide ribosomal RNA is filed under the name Escherichia coli. RNAcentral's name for it is "partial 23S ribosomal RNA". It matches the Rfam family "Bacterial large subunit ribosomal RNA", at positions 1 to 1230 of the family's 2925-position model. Lineage: Bacteria; Pseudomonadati; Pseudomonadota; Gammaproteobacteria; Enterobacterales; Enterobacteriaceae. The record is from RNAcentral.